GGUCUAAUAGUGUAGAGGUUAGCACAUGGGAUUUUGACUUGGGUAUUUCCCAUAACCCAGGUUCGAGUCCUGGUUAGACCU
Molecule: transfer RNA, 81 nt
Filed under: Lentinula detonsa
Lineage: Eukaryota; Fungi; Basidiomycota; Agaricomycetes; Agaricales; Omphalotaceae
Description: tRNA-Gln
Rfam family: tRNA
About the family: Transfer RNA (tRNA) molecules are approximately 80 nucleotides in length. Their secondary structure includes four short double-helical elements and three loops (D, anti-codon, and T loops).
Source: RNAcentral